Molecule: non-coding RNA, 25 nt
Filed under: Cricetulus griseus (Chinese hamster)
Lineage: Eukaryota; Metazoa; Chordata; Mammalia; Rodentia; Cricetidae
Source: RNAcentral
UACUCUCUGGAGAGGAUGGCUUUGA